UUGAACGCUGGCGGAAUGCUUUACACAUGCAAGUCGAGCGGCAGCGCAAAAGCAACCCUAACGGCGAGCAACGAACAAAUAAGUAAUGUAUCAGAACGUACCCAAUCGUAAAAAAUAACUAUCCAAAAGAAUAACUAAUACCACAUACAUCCUAAAAAAGAAAACAAGAAAUCACAAAACCUCACGCAAUUGGAACGGCCGAUAUCGGAUUAGCUAGUUGGUAAAGUAAAGGCUCACCAAGGCGACGAUCCGUAGCUGGUCUGAGAGGACGACCAGCCACACUGGAACUGAGACACGGUCCAGACUCCUACGGGAGGCAGCAGUGGGGAAUUUUGGACAAUGGGGGCAACCCUGAUCCAGCCAUUCCGCGUGAGUGAAGAAGGCCUUCGGGUUGUAAAGCUCUUUCGGCAGGAACGAAACGGUGGCCCCUAAUACGGGUCGCUAAUGACGGUACCUGAAGAAGAAGCACCGGCUAACUACGU
This 482-nucleotide ribosomal RNA is filed under the name uncultured bacterium. Its description in RNAcentral is "bacterial SSU rRNA". It matches the Rfam family "Bacterial small subunit ribosomal RNA", at positions 29 to 506 of the family's 1533-position model. The record is from RNAcentral.